CAGUCGCCGCGGUAAAACGGAGGGUGCAAGCGUUAAUCGGAAUUACUGGGCGUAAAGCGCACGUAGGCGGCUUUGUAAGUUAGAGGUGAAAGCCUGGAGCUCAACUCCAGAAUUGCCUUUAAGACUGCAUCGCUUGAAUCCAGGAGAGGUGAGUGGAGCUCCGAGUGUAGAGGUGAAAUUCGUAGAUAUUCGGAAGAACACCAGUGGCGAAGGCGGCUCACUGGACUGGUAUUGACGCUGAGGUGCGAAAGCGUGGGGAGCAAACAGGAUUAGAUACCCGUGUAGUCCCUGUCUCUUAUAC
Molecule: ribosomal RNA, 301 nt
Filed under: uncultured bacterium
Lineage: Bacteria
Description: partial 16S ribosomal RNA
Rfam family: Bacterial small subunit ribosomal RNA
Source: RNAcentral